This 178-nucleotide unclassified non-coding RNA is filed under the name rhizosphere metagenome. RNAcentral's name for it is "partial ribosomal RNA internal transcribed spacer region". The record is from RNAcentral.
GUAGGUGAACCUGCGGAAGGAUCAUUAUAAAAUUUUCAUAUAUUAAUUUAUUUAAUAUAUAAAAUUAUAUUCAAAACCCACACACUUUAUAACCAAAAAAAAAUAAUAUAUAUUUUAUUAUAUAUAUAAUAAAAAUAAUAAAAAAUGACAACUUUCAACAACGGAUCUCUUGGCUCUC